CAGAGUUAUCUAACUCCUAAACCCAUGUGAACUUACUUAUGUUGCCUCGGCGGGGAAAACCUACCCGGUACUUACCCUGUAGGUGAUAUCCGCCGGUGGACUUCUAAACUCUUGUUAUCAAUGUGUUACUCUGAGUAAUUAUUUUAAUAAGUUA
This 154-nucleotide unclassified non-coding RNA is filed under the name uncultured Xylariales. RNAcentral describes it as "sequence contains ITS1". The record is from RNAcentral. Lineage: Eukaryota; Fungi; Ascomycota; Sordariomycetes; Xylariales.